UUACGGAAGGCAGCAGUGGGGAAUCUUGCGCAAUGGGCGAAAGCCUGACGCAGCCAUGCCGCGUGAAUGAUGAAGGUCUUAGGAUUGUAAAAUUCUUUCACCGGGGAAGAUAAUGACGGUACCCGGAGAAGAAGCCCCGGCUAACUUCGUGCCAGCAGCCGCGGUAAUACGAAGGGGGCUAGCGUUGCUCGGAAUUACUGGGCGUAAAGGGCGCGUAGGCGGACAUUUAAGUUAGAGGUGAAAGCCCAGGGCUCAACCCUGGAAUAGCCUUUAAUACUGGAUGUCUUGAGUUCGGGAGAGGUGAGUGGAACUCCGAGUGUAGAGGUGAAAUUCGUAGAUAUUCGGAAGAACACCAGUGGCGAAGGCGACUCACUGGCCCGAUACUGACGCUGGGGCGCGAAAGCGUGGGGAGCAAACAGGAUUAGAUACCCGUGUAGUCG
This 440-nucleotide ribosomal RNA is filed under the name uncultured bacterium. Its description in RNAcentral is "bacterial SSU rRNA". It matches the Rfam family "Bacterial small subunit ribosomal RNA", at positions 339 to 796 of the family's 1533-position model. The record is from RNAcentral.